Molecule: small nucleolar RNA, 133 nt
Filed under: Carlito syrichta (Philippine tarsier)
Lineage: Eukaryota; Metazoa; Chordata; Mammalia; Primates; Tarsiidae
Description: Small nucleolar RNA SNORA48 (ENSTSYG00000022925.2)
Rfam family: Small nucleolar RNA SNORA48
About the family: The snoRNA ACA 48 has been identified to guide pseudouridylation of the residue U3797 in the 28S rRNA subunit. Its host gene EIF4A1 (eukaryotic translation initiation factor 4A1) is shared with U67 and snoRNA mgU6-77
Source: Rfam by way of RNAcentral
UGUCCCUGACCUUGGAAGAAUGGCACCUGAUUGGUGCUGUGCAUCUCAUAUCAGCCAGGGACAAAGCACAUUUGUUGAUAACAGCUUGGCCUUGGGUCUGUGCCCAUGCCUGCUUCAUGCCUUGGACACAUGG